This 344-nucleotide unclassified non-coding RNA is filed under the name Hevea brasiliensis (rubber tree). The record is from RNAcentral. Lineage: Eukaryota; Viridiplantae; Streptophyta; Magnoliopsida; Malpighiales; Euphorbiaceae.
UCAACGGAUAUUGGAGUACAUAGAACUCAUUGGCGGAAGGGGUAAGCCACACGUCAACUUCACGAACAACUUCAUCCUGAUCGCUAUCAGUUUCCAUUCCGACUUGUUCUUCUGCAAGAUCGUUUCCCGUAGUCUCUCCAUUCAAAAGAACGUCGUCCUCAACUUUUGCCUCUCCGUUUUUCACUAUAUGAUCUCUUAGAGGGGGUUGUGAUACAAAUUCUUCCUUUUUAGUCGGAAUCUCUGAAUCUACCUUCAAUGGCAGUGUUUCACUUUUGGGUUGGGGCUUUAAUUUGGAGUUCUUGGGAGCGAAACGAGCUUGCCUGCUCGGGACUUUACUUGGACCG